RNAcentral lists this ribosomal RNA (260 nucleotides) under uncultured bacterium. RNAcentral describes it as "partial 16S ribosomal RNA". It matches the Rfam family "Bacterial small subunit ribosomal RNA", at positions 526 to 779 of the family's 1533-position model. The record is from RNAcentral.
CGUAGGGUGCAAGCGUUGUCCGGGAAUUAUUGGGGCGUAAAAGAGCUCGUAGGCGGUCUGUCGCGUCGGCUGUGAAAACUCGGGGGCUCAACCCCGAGCCUGCAGUCGAUACGGGGCAGACUAGAGUGCUGUAGGGGGAGACUGGAAUUCCUGGUGUAGCGGUGAAAAUGCGCAGAUAUCAGGAGGAACACCGGUGGCGAAGGCGGGUCUCUGGGCAGUAAUUGACGCUGAGGAGCGAAAGCGUGGGAGCGAACAGGAUU